This 492-nucleotide ribosomal RNA is filed under the name uncultured bacterium. RNAcentral describes it as "partial 16S ribosomal RNA". It matches the Rfam family "Bacterial small subunit ribosomal RNA", at positions 29 to 507 of the family's 1533-position model. The record is from RNAcentral.
AGUGAACGCUGGCGGUAGGCCUAACACAUGCAAGUCGAACGGCAGCACAGUAAGAGCUUGCUCUUACGGGUGGCGAGUGGCGGACGGGUGAGGAAUACAUCGGAAUCUACUUUUUCGUGGGGGAUAACGUAGGGAAACUUACGCUAAUACCGCAUACGACCUACGGGUGAAAGCAGGGGAUCUUCGGACCUUGCGCGAUUGAAUGAGCCGAUGUCGGAUUAGCUAGUUGGCGGGGUAAAGGCCCACCAAGGCGACGAUCCGUAGCUGGUCUGAGAGGAUGAUCCGCCCACACGGAACCGAGGACACGGCCCGAACCCUUACGGGGGGCGGCGUGGGGAAAAUUGGACCAAUGGGGGCAGCCUGGAUCCAGCCAAACGGGUGGGUGGAAGAAGCCCUCCGGUUGGUAAGCCCUUUUGGUGGGAAAAAAAAGGCAGCGGUUAAAAACCCGGCGUUUCGGAGGUAACCAAAGAAAAAAGCACGGGCAAACUCGUG